This 468-nucleotide ribosomal RNA is filed under the name uncultured bacterium. Its description in RNAcentral is "partial 16S ribosomal RNA". It matches the Rfam family "Bacterial small subunit ribosomal RNA", at positions 28 to 507 of the family's 1533-position model. The record is from RNAcentral.
GACGAACGCUGGCGGCGUGCUUAACACAUGCCAGUCGAACGGAAAGGCCCUGCUUUUGUGGGGUGCUCGAGUGGCGAACGGGUGAGUAACACGUGAGUAACCUGCCCUUGACUUUGGGAUAACUUCAGGAAACUGGGGCUAAUACCGGAUAGGAGCUCCUGCUGCAUGGUGGGGGUUGGAAAGUUUCGGCGGUUGGCGAUGGACUCGCGGCUUAUCAGCUUGUUGGUGGGGUAGUGGCUUACCAAGGCUUUGACGGGUAGCCGGCCUGAGAGGGUGACCGGCCACAUUGGGACUGAGAUACGGCCCAGACUCCUACGGGAGGCAGCAGUGGGGAAUAUUGCACAAUGGGCGGAAGCCUGAUGCAGCAACGCCGCGUGCGGGAUGACGGCCUUCGGGUUGUAAACCGCUUUCGCCUGUGACGAAGCGUGAGUGACGGUAAUGGGUAAAGAAGCACCGGCUAACUACGUG